This is a long non-coding RNA of Daphnia pulex (common water flea), 1519 nucleotides long. RefSeq lists it as uncharacterized. NCBI's taxonomy places the organism in Eukaryota, Metazoa, Arthropoda, Branchiopoda, Diplostraca, Daphniidae. The transcript has 6 exons. The record is from RefSeq and is a predicted model, not a curated record.
CAGUUGCAGGUUGCAGUUGCAGUUGCAGUUGCAGGCCUAAUACUAGAAUAGGCGACAAAUUAAAAGGCACCUAUAGCGACGCAUUAUGGCACUUUUUAAGAUUCACGAUGCAAAAAAAAUAGUAUUUGUCGUCAUUUUUUAAAUGUAAAAAUAGUUUUUCUAAGUUCCACAGCAGUUGGAUCUCAUAAAUCGGGCUAGCAAAACCAUACCAAAAAAUGAUUAAUGUCGUCUGCCAGUAUACUACACUACUGUCAAACACAGCAUUUACAAGACAUUGGCUGCCGAUUAUGCCAUUGGGGAGGCAGAAAAGAGGAAAGCGAUUACCAUUUAUUCAGAAAUUAAGGGCUGUGAAAAGAGCUACUGUUAAUCAAAGGUGUUUUUAGAACUAACUUAAUUAUUUAAAUUUGGAAAUCGAAUUGAAAGGCAGAAUAUAAAAAUCUUUUAUGUGUUGAACCAGGAUUUGAGGGAAACUAAAUUUUAUCAGAAGAGUAGAUUUCUUGAAAUUCAGUUUUGAUGCUAUCUGGAAUAAUUCUGUCAAUGACUUUUUUAUCAGCAUGACAUUUCAUAAGUUACCUGAAAUAACUUUAUGGAGAUGAAGGUUUUGAAAAAUUAGUAAGCUUACAUCCCGUUUCAACACGGAAUUGGUGAGCUAGCUCAAACACUCUUCCUCAAAAUGCGCUCUCAGGUUAGUUGGGGGAAACUAGUGCUGCCGCGGUGGCCAAUUGGUCGUUCCAGAUUUGUUGAUUUCGGCAUCCAUUUUGUUUUUUCUUAAAUAGGCCCGUAUAUUUUUACUGUAUUUUCUUAUUUAUUAUCAAUAUUUGAGCUUUUUAGUGAUGUUUUUCGUACUCAGCUUUUAAAUUUAAAAAUUUUUAAUUUUUGAAAUCUUUUUCCAGUCAUUUUGUCUUAAUUUUUUUACCAGUUAUCUUUCUCUCGCUUGCCUAUAGGAACUGUCAAAAUGGUGAUAUUUCCUUCAGUAACCUGCUUUUUUCCCAUCAAAACACCCCCAUUUUCUUUGUAAAAUAUCAAUUAUGGGGUAUGGCUUGGGACCCUUUUUCUGAAGAAAUUACCAGUAUUAUUGGUUAUCUGUGGAAUUUUCUUCAUCGUAAACUAUGAAGGCUGGAAUAAGAACAUGGACCUUUCAUCUGAAGAAAUUGCCAAUAUUUGUGAUCUGCGGGUUUAUCUUAAUCAGAAGUUAUCAAUGCUGGAAUGAAAACAGGGCAAAUCAAGGAAGGAGAAAUAAUCCUACGAUGAAGACCACACCAAGGCUUUGUUGGAUUUACAACUAAUCAAGGAAUACAAAGGAACUUACAGCUCUUAAGCAAAAGUUUAUUCACAGUAUUCCCGUAAAUGGAAUGGACAAUUGACGCUGUCAGCAGCAUAGGCUACCAAUACACACCAAAGAAUGGUCCACUAUAAUAAUACUUUUUCCAGUGAUUUCAUGUAUUCUUUCAUUUAUUUCCAAAAAUCACAUUGCAAUUGGUAGGCACAAUAAAAAUGAACAUAAGAAUAUGAAGAAAAA